This 253-nucleotide ribosomal RNA is filed under the name uncultured bacterium. RNAcentral describes it as "partial 16S ribosomal RNA". It matches the Rfam family "Bacterial small subunit ribosomal RNA", at positions 524 to 776 of the family's 1533-position model. The record is from RNAcentral.
UACGUAGGGUGCGAGCGUUAAUCGGAAUUACUGGGCGUAAAGCGUGCGCAGGCGGUUCGUUGUGUCGGUGGUGAAAGCCCCGGGCUUAACCUGGGAAUGGCCAUGGAAACUGGCGAACUGGAGUGUGGCAGAGGGGGGUGGAAUUCCGCGUGUAGCAGUGAAAUGCGUAGAGAUGCGGAGGAACACCGAUGGCGAAGGCAGCCCCUUGGGCUAGCACUGACGCUCAGGCACGAAAGCGUGGGGAGCAAACAGG